RNAcentral lists this long non-coding RNA (276 nucleotides) under Elaeis guineensis (African oil palm). Its description in RNAcentral is "long non-coding RNA (EGUI_LNC073791)". Lineage: Eukaryota; Viridiplantae; Streptophyta; Magnoliopsida; Arecales; Arecaceae. The record is from RNAcentral.
AUUCCAUCAUCCUAACCAUUAACUUUUCUAAAUCCUCCAUGGUUAAAGGAUUUUUAUCAUCCAUUGUCAAAAUAAAAUACUUAAAUGAUCAAGUAAACAAGAACAAUCUUGAGGGAAGAAAAGGUAUUUGAAUUUUUCUCACCAACGAUCUGAGAUAAACUCAGAUGACAAAUAAAAAAUAUCGAAUAUCUGCUUGCAUGAAAGGCACCUCGAUAAUAUUCAGAAACUCUCAAAAAAGAUGCUCCAUUGUUGCUCCAGAAUAAGACCCAGCACCUA